CCUACGGGUGACAGCAGUGGGGAAUAUUGGGCAAUGGGCGCAAGCCUGACCCAGCGACGCCGCGUGAAGGAAGAAGGCUUUCGGGUUGUAAACUUCUUUUCUCAGGGACGAAGAAAGUGACGGUACCUGAGGAAUAAGCCACGGCUAACUACGUGCCAGCCGCCGCGGUAAUACGUGGGUGGAAAGCGUUAUCCGGAUUUACGGGGUGUAAAGGGCGUGUCGGCGGGAAAGCAAGUCAGAUGUGAAAACCACGGGCUCAACCUGUGGCCUGCAUUUGAAACUGUGUUUCUUGAGUGCUGGAGAGGCAGACGGAAUUCCUAGUGUAGCGGUGAAAUGCGUAGAUAUUAGGAGGAACACCAGUGGCGAAGGCGGUCUGCUGGACAGCAACUGACGCUGAGGCGCGAAAGCGUGGGGAGCAAACAGGAUUAGAUACCCGAGUAGUC
This 443-nucleotide ribosomal RNA is filed under the name uncultured bacterium. RNAcentral describes it as "partial 16S ribosomal RNA". It matches the Rfam family "Bacterial small subunit ribosomal RNA", at positions 338 to 795 of the family's 1533-position model. The record is from RNAcentral.